UGGGGAAUAUUGGACAAUGGGCGAAAGCCUGAUCCAGCCAUGCCGCGUGUGUGAAGAAGGUCUUCGGAUUGUAAAGCACUUUAAGUUGGGAGGAAGGGCAGUAAGCGAAUACCUUGCUGUUUUGACGUUACCGACAGAAUAAGCACCGGCUAACUCUGUGCCAGCAGCCGCGGUAAUACAGAGGGUGCAAGCGUUAAUCGGAAUUACUGGGCGUAAAGCGCGCGUAGGUGGUUCGUUAAGUUGAAUGUGAAAGCCCCGGGCUCAACCUGGGAACUGCAUCCAAAACUGGCGAGCUAGAGUAUGGCAGAGGGUGGUGGAAUUUCCUGUGUAGCGGUGAAAUGCGUAGAUAUAGGAAGGAACACCAGUGGCGAGGGCGACCACCUGAGCUCAUACUGACACUGAGGUGCGAAAGCGUGGGGAGCAAACAGG
RNAcentral lists this ribosomal RNA (429 nucleotides) under Pseudomonadota bacterium. Its description in RNAcentral is "Proteobacteria bacterium partial 16S ribosomal RNA". It matches the Rfam family "Bacterial small subunit ribosomal RNA", at positions 355 to 776 of the family's 1533-position model. The record is from RNAcentral. Lineage: Bacteria; Pseudomonadati; Pseudomonadota.